UGGGGAAUAUUGCACAAUGGGCGAAAGCCUGAUGCAGCAACGCCGCGUGAGUGAUGAAGGCCUUCGGGUUGUAAAGCUCUGUCUUUUGGGACGAUAAUGACGGUACCAAAGGAGGAAGCCACGGCUAACUACGUGCCAGCAGCCGCGGUAAUACGUAGGUGGCAAGCGUUGUCCGGAUUUACUGGGCGUAAAGGAUGCGUAGGCGGAUUUUUAAGUGAGAUGUGAAAACCCUAAGCUUAACUUGGGGACUGCAUUUCAUACUGGAAAUCUAGAGUGCGGGAGAGGAGAAUGGAAUUCCUAGUGUAGCGGUGAAAAUGCGUAGAGAUUAGGGAGAACACCAGUGGCGAAGGCGAUUCUCUGGACCGUAACUGACGCUGAGGCAUGAAAGCGUGGGUAGCAAACAGGAUUAGAUACCCUGGUAGUCCACGCCGUAAACGAUGAGUACUAGGUGUAGGAGGUAUCGACCCCUUCUGUGCCGCAGUUAACACAAUAAGUACUCCGCCU
Molecule: ribosomal RNA, 504 nt
Filed under: uncultured bacterium
Lineage: Bacteria
Description: partial 16S ribosomal RNA
Rfam family: Bacterial small subunit ribosomal RNA
Source: RNAcentral